Molecule: long non-coding RNA, 571 nt
Organism: Ictalurus punctatus (channel catfish)
Lineage: Eukaryota; Metazoa; Chordata; Actinopteri; Siluriformes; Ictaluridae
Source: Ensembl
GUAAAGAGUUGGAAACAUCGUGCAGAGAUCCUUUCCAUGGAAUGAUACAGAUCCCCACGUUCCAGGCGUUCUUCCAGAGAUUCAUAGAUUCCCAGUCUGGGUGGCUGGGUGGCGAGCCAACCGUGUUUGUGACUCUGACUUUAGACGGAUUGCCAGGAUCAUCUUCUUCAUCUUCAUGGUGAUCAAACUUGAAGGCCCACAAAUCAAGUCACAUACUGUCAUUUCAUCUGCUUUUGCAUUAUGCGCUGUGCAGCAUCCUUUUCUCCUACCAUCCUUCCAUGAUGCUGGCCUAGACCUGAACACAUGCUAUCAAUUAGCACACCUUUCUGCUGAUCUGACUCUGUUGGCUGAAUCCCUUGCUGCUGACCCUGGUGUUUAUGGUUUCCCUCCACCUCUACACUACAGGAUUGUUCCUGCUACGGUUUGCAUGGAUGCUUCCACUCAAACAGAGACUUCUUCUGUUGUUUCCUCUGUGAAUAAUUUUGAGCUUACUGAUGAGGACAUGGCUUUCUCUGGGGCUGACCCUGACUUUAACCCUACUUCAGAUUCUCUCAGUCCUACUCCGUCCUCA